AUGGAACUCAUUUUGAUGUCAUGAAUAAGGGCAUUGUGAGUUUCCAUGUUCCCAAGCAUAUUUGAGACACAGGUUUGGAAACAAAAAUGACUUCACCAGUUAAAUAUUGUCAGAUCCUAUAGUAUAUCAAAGGCAGCUGUGGUGAUGUUAAAAAGUCAUGGCAGCCUGUGAACUGCUACACAGGGCAUGUGCCUCCUGGUUUCCUAGGUCUCAUUCAGUCUCUAAAGUGUCACCUGCUGCACCAGAUUGGGAUCGUGCUUUUCCAGGGUUUCCUGAAUGCAGGAGAAGGGUAAAGUACCUCAUCAAUGGACCGUACUUCAGAAGUGAAAUCUCAAACCUUGGCCAAUGCUGCUGAGAGUUCCUCUCUGCUAGGAAGCCAGCACACUUGGGCUUUUCCUGAGGUGUGGCCAUAAGUCCCCAUGGGAUACCAUAAGGAAAUCCUUGAGAAGGCCCUGCUGCUUCUACUUUGCACCUUGCCAUUUAGACAGAAAGCUACACCUUUGUUGCUGGGAUCUCAACAGCUUCUCACUCUCGAGGUGCCAUUGGACCUGACAAAGGUGGCACCAUUUUGUCCUCACAAUGCUGUGAUAGAAGAGUGGCCAGUGUUUUUUUCCUGCAUGUCCCUCCAGCCCAGUUUUUCUCAGCAGAAUUCCCAUCAGAGUUCUGACCCUGAGCCCUGAAGUUUGAUGGGAGCAAGGAGCUUUGCAGUGGAACAGUACCUAACCACAACACAAGAUGGCUUUUCUCUGUCACCGGACAGAAGUCAUCAGGGCAGGGGACGCUCUGACUUUCUGAGAGGCAUGAAUUGACCUUCCGCCCUUCACCAGCUUCCUGAGGAAUAUAAGCCUGGAAUUUUGAGAACUGCUGGCCAUCGGAUGAAAGCCCCUAAUACUAUGAUGGACCAUAGAAACUUGCCCAUCUGGACCUCUUCCUUACCUUCUAGAAGAGGAGAGAAUAGCUAAGUUUGAGCAGAAAACUGCUGCAAUUGAUUGAAUUGUUUGAAAUGUAUUUUCAAAGUGCAAUAUUGAAAAAAGCAGAAAUCGCAAGAAGCACCCCUUAAAUCAUCCUCAAACCAA
Long non-coding RNA from Gallus gallus (chicken), 1076 nucleotides. RefSeq lists it as uncharacterized. The record is from RefSeq and is a predicted model, not a curated record. The transcript has 5 exons. NCBI's taxonomy places the organism in Eukaryota, Metazoa, Chordata, Aves, Galliformes, Phasianidae.